RNAcentral lists this ribosomal RNA (415 nucleotides) under Dibernardia affinis. Its description in RNAcentral is "partial small subunit ribosomal RNA". The record is from RNAcentral. Lineage: Eukaryota; Metazoa; Chordata; Lepidosauria; Squamata; Colubridae.
ACCCUACUAUACCUGACUGUAACACAACAAUCAGACAACCAAUUGUUCGCCAAAUAACUACGAGUAUAAACUUAAAAUUUAAAAGACUUGACGGUACUUCACAACAACCUAGAGGAGCCUGUCUAAUAACCGAUACCCCACGAUUAACCUAACCCACUUUAGCCCAACAGUCUAUAUACCGCCGUCGCCAGCUUACCUUGUGAAAGAAAUAGAGUGAGCAAAAUAGACCCCCCCUAACACGACAGGUCGAGGUGUAACCUAUGAGCGGGUAAAAGAUGGGCUACAUUUUCUAACACAGAAAACACGAACAAACUAUGAAACUAGAAACUGAAGGCGGAUUUAGCAGUAUGUUAAGGAUAGAAUACUCAACUGAAACCAACGCAAUGAAGUGCGCACACACCGCCCGUCAUCCCUG